AUUGAACGCUGGCGGCAUGCUUUACACAUGCAAGUCGAACGGGGUGAAGGGGCAACUCUUCAUUCAGUGGCGAACGGGUGAGUAAUACAUCGGAACGUACCCCGUAGUGGGGAGUAACUCGGCGAGAGCCGUCGCUAAUACCGCAUAUGCUCUACGGAGGAAAGCNGGGGACCGCAAGGCCUUGUGCUAUGGGAGCGGCCGAUGUCCGAUUAGCUAGUUGGUGAGGAAUGGCUCACCAAGGCGACGAUCAGUAGCUGGUCUGAGGAGGAUGAUCAGCCUCACUGGGACUGAGACA
This 295-nucleotide ribosomal RNA is filed under the name uncultured bacterium. Its description in RNAcentral is "partial 16S ribosomal RNA". It matches the Rfam family "Bacterial small subunit ribosomal RNA", at positions 30 to 326 of the family's 1533-position model. The record is from RNAcentral.